This 1200-nucleotide long non-coding RNA is filed under the name Monodelphis domestica (gray short-tailed opossum). RNAcentral describes it as "lncRNA (ENSMODG00000040408.1)". Lineage: Eukaryota; Metazoa; Chordata; Mammalia; Didelphimorphia; Didelphidae. The record is from RNAcentral.
AAAAAUCCGUCAGAAUACCCCUUCCUCCAAAAGAUUGCAGGGUCUUCAAGGGGGCUAUAAGUCUGGAAAAAGUUGAAGGGGCCAAAGCAGGGAGCUAAAAGCGCGCGGCUCCUUUAAAAGGCUGCCUCUGCAGGCUCAGCUCCCUCCUCCAGCCACCCUCCUUGUCGGGGCUCCCUCUGUGAUUGACACAGAAAGAGAGGAGGCGCCUGGUGCUAACAAAAGUCUGAGCCACUGGAGAGCAGCGUAGGGCCGUGGGUCUCCUUCUCAGGGAACCAGCAACAAGUGGCUUGUAGCGGCACUUUCCCUUAGGAAGAAGUGCAUCGAGAGCGCUGGGACCGAAGGAGCGAGGCAGUUCUUCCUCUUCGCCCUCAGAAGCCUGAAGGGGAUGUCCUUGCCUGCCUAGCCCUGGGAUGCUGGAAGCUGCAUCUACAGAUUCCUCUAGUACCGCUGCCUGACCCUGAGUGUGGAUUAUUAAGUGGAGCUGCGACCCCUCGGGUUAUCUUUCUUGCAAAAAAAUAGAAAGGAGAAAAAGAAAGAAAAGAAAAGAAAAAAGCAAGGAGUGGAAAAGAGCAAGUCCAUCUGGAGAACCUACGGAGGGGGGGCAUUGCCCUCCCAGAGAUGGUCCUUGUUUAGGGGUUCUGAAGUAUGUCAAAGUAAUCGUUCGGGAUAGGAGGGUUCACUUGCCCGCUUUCGUCGCCCCCUGGUUGCCUAAGAACCGCGUCUUGGCUGGUUAGACAUGGUGUGUACUGGGAGAAGGAGAGUAUGAAGCCUGCAGGAUGGGAGCGAACAAUGGCAAACAGUACGGCAGUGAGGGCAAAGGCAGCUCAAGCAUCUCAUCCGACGUGAGUUCAAGUACAGAUCACACGCCGACCAAAGCUCAAAAGAAUGCAGCUACCAGUGAAGGUAGGCAUCUGGUCUUCAUUAUCUUUGGCCUUCUUUUCACAAUAUUGGCUAUUUUUGGAAGAGAGAUAAAAUGCGUGGGGUUUAGGCCUGUUCUACUGAGUGGGAGCUCAUGAGAUUCUUGAAAAAGGAAAAAGCUAAAGGUCUUCCAAGUGCCUUAUUUCUUUCCUUCUUUCUUUUUUGGACUGCUGUUGCUGUGUGUAAAAGUUGAUUUGAUGGGAUUUAAAUCUCUCAUUUCCAAGGCUAAUGUUGGAGUUUCAUGAAAAUAUAAUGGGCUGAUUUAUAAGAAGAUCAUAUUGC